Molecule: ribosomal RNA, 636 nt
Filed under: Aspergillus quadricinctus
Lineage: Eukaryota; Fungi; Ascomycota; Eurotiomycetes; Eurotiales; Aspergillaceae
Description: eukaryotic LSU rRNA
Rfam family: Eukaryotic large subunit ribosomal RNA
Source: RNAcentral
GGUUGACCUCGGAUCAGGUAGGGAUACCCGCUGAACUUAAGCAUAUCAAUAAGCGGAGGAAAAGAAACCAACAGGGAUUGCCUCAGUAACGGCGAGUGAAGCGGCAAGAGCUCAAAUUUGAAAGCUGGCCCCUUCGGGGUCCGCGUUGUAAUUUGCAGAGGAUGCUUCGGGUGCAGCCCCCGUCUAAGUGCCCUGGAACGGGCCGUCAUAGAGGGUGAGAAUCCCGUCUGGGACGGGGUGUCUGCGUCCGUGUGAAGCUCCUUCGACGAGUCGAGUUGUUUGGGAAUGCAGCUCUAAAUGGGUGGUAAAUUUCAUCUAAAGCUAAAUACUGGCCGGAGACCGAUAGCGCACAAGUAGAGUGAUCGAAAGAUGAAAAGCACUUUGAAAAGAGAGUUAAACAGCACGUGAAAUUGUUGAAAGGGAAGCGUUUGCGACCAGACUCGCCCGCGGGGUUCAGCCGGCACUCGUGCCGGUGUACUUCCCCGUGGGCGGGCCAGCGUCGGUUUGGGCGGCCGGUCAAAGGCCCUCGGAAUGUAUCACCUCUCGGGGUGUCUUAUAGCCGAGGGUGCAAUGCGGCCUGUCCGGACCGAGGAACGCGCUUCGGCUCGGACGCUGGCGUAAUGGUCGUAAAUGACC